Y RNA from Pongo abelii (Sumatran orangutan), 116 nucleotides. It matches the Rfam family "Y RNA". Rfam says of the family: Y RNAs are components of the Ro ribonucleoprotein particle (Ro RNP), in association with Ro60 and La proteins. The Y RNAs and Ro60 and La proteins are well conserved, but the function of the Ro RNP is not known. The record is from Ensembl. Lineage: Eukaryota; Metazoa; Chordata; Mammalia; Primates; Hominidae.
GGCUGGCCCAAAGGUAAUGAGUUAUCUCAAUUUGACUCUUCACACUUAGUUACAAAUCAAACUCUGUUCUACUCUUUCCUUCUUUUUCACUACUGCACUUGACUGAUUAGUCUUAA